CCUACGGGUGGCAGCAGUGAGGAAUAUUGGUCAAUGGGCGCGAGCCUGAACCAGCCAAGCCGCGUGAAGGAUGACUGCCCUACGGGUUGUAAACUUCUUUUAUCAAGGAAUAAAGUGCGGCACGUGUGCCUUUCUGUAUGUACCCUAUGAAUAAGGAUCGGCUAACUCCGUGCCAGCAGCCGCGGUAAUACGGAGGAUCCGAGCGUUAUCCGGAUUUAUUGGGUUUAAAGGGAGCGUAGGUGGGUUGUUAAGUCAGGUGUGAAAGUUUGCGGCUCAACCGUACAAGUGCAAUUGAUACUGGCAGUCUUGAGUGCAGUUGAGGUAGGCGGAAUGCGUGGUGUAGCGGUGAAAUGCUUAGAUAUCGCGAAGAACUCCGAUUGCGAAGGCAGCGUACUAAGCUGCCACUGACAUUGAUGCACGAAAGUGUGGGUAUCGAACAGGAUUAGAUACCCGGGUAGUC
RNAcentral lists this ribosomal RNA (460 nucleotides) under uncultured bacterium. RNAcentral's name for it is "partial 16S ribosomal RNA". It matches the Rfam family "Bacterial small subunit ribosomal RNA", at positions 338 to 795 of the family's 1533-position model. The record is from RNAcentral.